UUGUUCACCCCGAAAAAGUUUUAGGACUAGCCUCGUGUUAUGUUAUCGGAGGUAUAGCAAUGAAUGGGAUAGGGGCCCCACAAGGUUUACCGACCCCAAUCAAACUCCGAAUGCCGAUUAAAUGAUGCACGGGAGUCAGACUGCGGGUGAUAAGAUUCGUAGUCGAGAGGGUAAGAGCCCAGACCCACAGCUAAGGUCCCUAAAUCAAACCUAAGUGAUUAAAGGAAGUUGGAUUGCCCAGACAGCUAGGAGGUUGGCUUAGAAGCAGCCAUCCUUUAAAGAAAGCGUAACAGCUCACUAGUUAAGUGAUCCGGCGCCGAAAAUACUCGGGGCUUAAGGUUUGUACCGAAGCUUGGGAUACGUUGCUUGCAACGUAUGGUAGGGGAGCAUUCCGUAGGUGGUUGAAGCAAGAUCGCGAGUUCUUGUGGACACAUCGGAAGAGCUUAUGCCGGCAUGAGUAGCGAUAAAACAGGUGAGAAACCUGUUCGCCGUAAGUCUAAGGUUUCCUGAGGAAGGCUAAUCCGCUCAGGGUAAGUCGGCCCCUAAGCCGAGGCCGAAAGGCGUAGGUGAUGGGAAUCCGGUUAAAAUUCCGGAACCUGAUCGAUUUCGUUUGUACGAUGGGGUGACGCAGAAGUGAAAGUUCAGCGCACUGAUGGAUGUGCGUCCAAGGAGGUAGGGGGAAGGCCCAGGUAAAUCCAGGCCUUCUUAACCCCGAGAUCUGAUGGGGAAACAAGUCUUCGGACGAGCCAACUGAACCUAAUCAUGCUGCCGAGAAAAACCUCUAAGGAGAGAUCGGUCAGACCGUACCGUAAACCGACACAGGUAGGCGAGGAGAGUAUCCUAAGGCGCUCGAGAGAACCCUGGUGAAGGAACUAGGCAAAAUCGCCCCGUAACUUCGGGAGAAGGGGCGCCACUAGUAGGUGAAGCGGCUUGCCCGUGGAGCCAAACGUGGCCGCAGUGAAAAGGCCGUGGCGACUGUUUACUAAAAACACAGGUCUCUGCAAAGUCGCAAGACGACGUAUAGGGACUGACACCUGCCCGGUGCCGAUCUGUUAAGGGGAGGGGUUAGCUUUACGCGAAGCUCUGAACCGAAGCCUCGGUAAACGGCGGCCGUAACUAUAACGGUCCUAAGGUAGCGAAAUUCCUUGUCGGGUAAGUUCCGACCUGCACGAAUGGUGUAACGAUCGA
This 1188-nucleotide ribosomal RNA is filed under the name Pseudomonadota bacterium. RNAcentral describes it as "bacterial LSU rRNA". It matches the Rfam family "Bacterial large subunit ribosomal RNA", at positions 850 to 2011 of the family's 2925-position model. The record is from RNAcentral. Lineage: Bacteria; Pseudomonadati; Pseudomonadota.